Marmota flaviventris (yellow-bellied marmot) is the source of this 775-nucleotide long non-coding RNA. RefSeq lists it as uncharacterized. The record is from RefSeq and is a predicted model, not a curated record. Lineage: Eukaryota; Metazoa; Chordata; Mammalia; Rodentia; Sciuridae.
UGAGGGAGUAAUAGAAUGGCUGGGAGGGGCUGUAGAAGAAGAUGCCACGAAGCUAUAAACAUGACUGGGUAUGUCAUUGUGCUAUUGUGGUGCGCUUUAUUAUCAGUAGAUACAGAAGCCAAGGGUUGGCUCUCCCAGGAUGCAGCAUGACUUCUUUCCUUUUUUCUUCACUGGCCUGUUGGACCAGAGAUUCAUGAAGACGAGAUUCCCCAUCUGCUUGAUCCAAAAGUCAGAGAAUGAAAGACAGGUCAACUAAUUGGCUAGGGCUCAGCUGGAUGGUUCUUCUGCUGAUCUUACUUUGGAUAACUCACGUUACCACCAUGAUUUGAAACUGUUGGAGCUGGAUGGUCUAGAUGGUCUCACCCAUAUGUCUGGAAAUGGGUGCAGGCUGUUGGCUGAACUGCUCAUCUCUAACAGGCUGCAUGACCCACAUCACAGGAGAGGAAGGUUCCAGAACAACGUCUAGGGUACAAGUACUUUGGUGUCAGAAGCUAUCCUUUGACCUAGAGCUCAGCCUAGAGUGAAGGAUGAGCCACUUCUCACCUGGGAGACCACUUUGGACCUGAGCAACUGGACACACACGCCAGAAGGCUCCCCUCCUCCUUCCCACUCCAAACUUGCAAGGCAAGAGGCUGCUUUGAUCUUGGACCCUCCGCAGAAAAUCUCCCUUGGCAAGCCCAGCCACGACAGCUGGGCUCCGUGAUGGCAACUUUCUGUAGACAACGUUGAAAAAAAUCUAAACGCCAAGUCCUCCGGAGAAGAGUUGAUGAGGGAA